Molecule: long non-coding RNA, 495 nt
Organism: Cheilinus undulatus (humphead wrasse)
Lineage: Eukaryota; Metazoa; Chordata; Actinopteri; Labriformes; Labridae
Exons: 3
Source: RefSeq, a predicted model, not a curated record
CCAAGGAAGUGUCUCAGAGACACCGACACUCCACAUCCAUCCUGAUGGAGCUGAGAGCUUCUGCAAAGAAAAAUGGAGGAAACAGCACAGAAAUCGGUGUGCCAAGCUGGUAGCAUCACACUCCGAACUGGAGGCUGUAUUUCCUGCCAAAGGUGCUUCAACAAUGUACAGAGCGAAGACUGGAGAAGAAGAAAAAGAAAAAUGGUAUCUGUGUUCCCUCAAACAUGAACUUGGAGAGGAAUCAGAGUUCUGCAACGCCGUGUCGAAACCUGGAGCAUUAUCUGCAGGACGAAGGUUAAUGAGGGGGAAAGUUCACUAAAGCUGUCAAAGACAAAAACAGUCCAAACCCCGUCAGAUAUCUGCUGCUUCUAACGUUUUAAAUGCUUUUCUCCGUGGAAUAAAUGUGCAUCAUUAUGGAUUUCUCAGUUCUAAAUCACUUUCAUUUUUAUUUUUACUGCCACUAAGAAAUGUGAGUUUUUAUGAAUUAAAACCAUC